CCUACGGGUGGCAGCAGUCGAGAAUUUUUCACAAUGGGCGAAAGCCUGAUGGAGCGACGCCGCGUGGGGGAUGAAUGGCUUCGGCCCGUAAACCCCUGUCAUUUGCGAACAAACCUUGCUAUUUAAAAGAUGGCGAGCUGAUUGUAGCGAAAGAGGAAGGGACGGCUAACUCUGUGCCAGCAGCCGCGGUAAUACAGAGGUCCCAAGCGUUGUUCGGAUUCACUGGGCGUAAAGGGUGCGUAGGUGGUAAGGUAAGUCGGAUGUGAAAGCUCCGAGCUCAACUCGGAAAUGGCAUUGGAAACUACCUUGCUCGAGGGUUUGAGGGGGGACUGGAAUACUUGGUGUAGCAGUGAAAUGCGUAGAUAUCAAGUGGAACACCAGUGGCGAAGGCGAGUCCCUGGAAAACUCCUGACACUGAGGCACGAAAGCUAGGGGAGCAA
This 440-nucleotide ribosomal RNA is filed under the name uncultured bacterium. Its description in RNAcentral is "bacterial SSU rRNA". It matches the Rfam family "Bacterial small subunit ribosomal RNA", at positions 338 to 771 of the family's 1533-position model. The record is from RNAcentral.